Molecule: long non-coding RNA, 837 nt
Organism: Drosophila willistoni
Lineage: Eukaryota; Metazoa; Arthropoda; Insecta; Diptera; Drosophilidae
Exons: 3
Source: RefSeq, a predicted model, not a curated record
AUACCAAGCGCCAUAAAAACAAAUAGAGGAUCAAGAACAAUUUGCAAGCUGCAAUAAUUAUAAAGAAUAUGGCUACCAGUUCGAAUCAUAUCGAUUCAUGGCGUAAUUGCAGUUGGCAAAAUCAUUGAGGCAGCGCUCUUAUUGGCAGGAAAAGAGUAACAUGUGUUGUUUUUUAUUUGCCAUAGGCAAACAUUUCGGCAUUAAUCGGCUUAUUUCUGUCUCUCUUCUCGGAUUGGACUAUGUGAGGCCCCAGAACAAUGUAUGCGUGCCCUUCAGCCCCAGUAAUGGAGGUUUUGGGCCGUCAGAAGAGCUUGUUUGCCUGUGGAGUGGCAGCACAGUGGGCUAGCAAUUGGUGCGCAGCACAGGAGAAGCAUCUGUUCCAUCUACAGGCUCGUUUGGAGGAAAAUAACUAGGAGCGGGAGGGCCAAAUCCCUUCGACCGCAAUGUAGUGCUCGAGCAGGCAUUGCUAGGAUGGUAGGUCCAUAUUGUUUGCCUGCUGGCCAGGCCUGGUACAGGCUGGCUGAAAGCGGGAGGGCCAAGUCCCUUUAACCGCUGUAUGGAGAUCUUGUCAAGGUCAGCUGGCUGAAAGUGACUUCUAUGCUAUUAUCAAUCUCAUUCAAGAGCAACGUUUUGGAAAUAAGGCUUCCCCAAAUGGGGAUAGCGUAUGACUAAAUAGGAAUUAAGAUUUGCUUGAAUAUUGUCACCUUACAGCGUGUUCUUAAACAGCUGUUUGCUCCGACAAGCCAUUUAAGGCGAUUAUGUGUAGCCUUGGCUUGGCAGCAGAGUUUGGCAAUAUACUUUUUAAUAGAGAGCUUACUAUCGAUGGUAACCCCUAAA